This 448-nucleotide ribosomal RNA is filed under the name uncultured bacterium. RNAcentral's name for it is "bacterial SSU rRNA". It matches the Rfam family "Bacterial small subunit ribosomal RNA", at positions 335 to 799 of the family's 1533-position model. The record is from RNAcentral.
ACUCCUACGGGAGGCAGCAGUGGGGAAUCUUAGACAAUGGGCGCAAGCCUGAUCUAGCCAUGCCGCGUGAGUGAUGAAGGCCUUAGGGUCGUAAAGCUCUUUCGCCAGGGAUGAUAAUGACAGUACCUGGUAAACGAAACCCCGGCUAACUCCGUGCCAGCAGCCGCGGUAAUACGGAGGGGUUAGCGUUGUUCGGAAUUACUGGGCGUAAAGCGCGCGUAGGCGGAUUAGUCAGUUAGAGGUGAAAUCCCAGGGCUCAACCCUGGAACUGCCUUUAAUACUGCUAGUCUUGAGUUCGAGAGAGGUGAGUGGAAUUCCGAGUGUAGAGGUGAAAUUCGUAGAUAUUCGGAGGAACACCAGUGGCGAAGGCGGCUCACUGGCUCGAUACUGACGCUGAGGUGCGAAAGUGUGGGGAGCAAACAGGAUUAGAUACCCUGGUAGCGACUGA